This 421-nucleotide ribosomal RNA is filed under the name uncultured Lachnospiraceae bacterium. Its description in RNAcentral is "bacterial SSU rRNA". It matches the Rfam family "Bacterial small subunit ribosomal RNA", at positions 355 to 794 of the family's 1533-position model. Lineage: Bacteria; Bacillati; Bacillota; Clostridia; Lachnospirales; Lachnospiraceae. The record is from RNAcentral.
UGGGGAAUAUUGCACAAUGGGGGAAACCCUGAUGCAGCGACGCCGCGUGAACGAAGAAGUAUUUCGGUAUGUAAAGUUCUAUCAGCAGGGAAGAUAAUGACGGUACCUGACUAAGAAGCACCGGCUAAAUACGUGCCAGCAGCCGCGGUAAUACGGAGGAUGCGAGCGUUAUCCGGAUUUAUUGGGUUUAAAGGGUGCGCAGGCGGCGUGCCAAGUCAGCGGUCAAAGUUCCGGGCUCAACCCGGUGAUGCCGUUGAAACUGGUGUGCUUGAGUGCGUGCGAGGGAGGCGGAAUGCGUUGUGUAGCGGUGAAAUGCAUAGAUAUGACGCAGAACUCCGAUUGCGAAGGCAGCUUUCCAGCACGCCACUGACGCUGAGGCACGAAAGCGUGGGGAUCGAACAGGAUUAGAUACCCUGGUAGU